This 74-nucleotide transfer RNA is filed under the name Actinomycetota bacterium. Its description in RNAcentral is "Actinobacteria bacterium (freshwater metagenome) tRNA-Val". It matches the Rfam family "tRNA". Rfam says of the family: Transfer RNA (tRNA) molecules are approximately 80 nucleotides in length. Lineage: Bacteria; Bacillati; Actinomycetota. The record is from RNAcentral.
GGGCGUUUAGCUCAGUUGGCUAGAGCACUUCCCUUACAAGGAAGAUGUCGGGGGUUCGAGUCCCUCAACGCCCA